This 405-nucleotide ribosomal RNA is filed under the name uncultured bacterium. RNAcentral describes it as "partial 16S ribosomal RNA". It matches the Rfam family "Bacterial small subunit ribosomal RNA", at positions 30 to 526 of the family's 1533-position model. The record is from RNAcentral.
AUUGAACGCUGGCGGCAGGCUUAACACAUGCAAGUCGAACGAGUGGCGGACGGGUGAGUAAUGCAUGGGAAUCUGGCUUAUGGCGGGGGAUAACUACGGGAAACUGUAGCUAAUACCGCAUACCAUAGGAGUAGCCCAAGUUGGAUUAGGUAGUUGGUGGGGUAAAGGCUCACCAAGCCGACGAUCUCUAGCUGGUCUGAGAGGAUGACCAGCCACACUGGGACUGAGACACGGCCCAGACUCCGACGGGAGGCAGCAGUGGGGAAUAUUGCGCAAUGGGGGCAACCUGAAGCAGCCAUGCCGCGUGAAUGAAGAAGGCCUUCGGGUUGUAAAGUUCUUUCGGUAGAGAGGCGUUAACUACAGAAUAAGCACCGGCUAACUCCGUGCCAGCAGCCGCGGUAAUUC